CGGACGGGUGAGUAAUGUCUGGGAAACUGCCUGAUGGAGGGGGAUAACUACUGGAAACGGUAGCUAAUACCGCAUAACGUCGCAAGACCAAAGAGGGGGACCUCCGGGCCUCGCGCCAUCAGAUGAACCCAUAUGGGAUUAGCUUGUAGGUAAGGUAACGGCUUACCUAGGCGACGAUCCCUAGCUGGUCUGAGAGGAUGAUCAGCCACACUGGAACUGAGACACGGUCCAG
RNAcentral lists this ribosomal RNA (232 nucleotides) under uncultured bacterium. Its description in RNAcentral is "partial 16S ribosomal RNA". It matches the Rfam family "Bacterial small subunit ribosomal RNA", at positions 99 to 334 of the family's 1533-position model. The record is from RNAcentral.